GAUGAAAACGUAGCGAAAUGCGAUAAGUAAUGUGAAUUGCAGAAUUCAGUGAAUCAUCGAAUCUUUGAACGCACAUUGCGCCCUCUGGUAUUCCGGGGGGCAUGCCUGUUCGAGCGUCAUUAUAACCACUCAAGCUCUCGCUUGGUAUUGGAGUUCGCGAUCUCGCGGCUCCUAAAAUCAGUGGCGGUGCCUGUCGGCUCUACGCGUAGUAAUACUCCUCGCGAUUGAGUCCGGUAGGUUUACUUGCCAGCAACCCCCAAUUUUUACAGGUUGACCUCGGAUCAGGUAGGGAUACCCGCUGAACUUAAGCAUAUCAAUAAGCGGAGGA
RNAcentral lists this unclassified non-coding RNA (328 nucleotides) under soil metagenome. RNAcentral describes it as "partial contains 5.8S ribosomal RNA, internal transcribed spacer 2, and large subunit ribosomal RNA". The stretch from base 1 to 119 matches the Rfam family "5.8S ribosomal RNA", at positions 35 to 154 of the family's 154-position model. The record is from RNAcentral.